Molecule: ribosomal RNA, 661 nt
Filed under: bacterium
Lineage: Bacteria
Description: bacterial SSU rRNA
Rfam family: Bacterial small subunit ribosomal RNA
Source: RNAcentral
AGUCGAGCGGACCGACGGGAGCUUGCUCCCUUAGGUCAGCGGCGGACGGGCGAUUAACACGUGGGUAACCUGCCUGUAAGACUGGGAUAACUCCGGGAAACCGGGGCUAAUACCGGAUGCUUGAUUGAACCGCAUGGUUCAAUCAUAAAAGGUGGCUUUUAGCUACCACUUGCAGAUGGACCCGCGGCGCAUUAGCUAGUUGGUGAGGUAACGGCUCACCAAGGCCACGAUGCGUAGCCGACCUGAGAGGGUGAUCGGCCACACUGGGACUGAGACACGGCCCAGACUCCUACGGGAGGCAGCAGUAGGGAAUCUUCCGCAAUGGACGAAAGUCUGACGGAGCAACGCCGCGUGAGUGAUGAAGGUUUUCGGAUCGUAAAACUCUGUUGUUAGGGAAGAACAAGUACCGUUCGAAUAGGGCGGCACCUUGACGGUACCUAACCAGAAAGCCACGGCUAACUACGUGCCAGCAGCCGCGGUAAUACGUAGGUGGCAAGCGUUGUCCGGAAUUAUUGGGCGUAAGCGCGCGCAGGCGGUUUCUUAGUCUGAUGUGAAACCCCCGGCUCACCGGGGAGGGUCUUGGAAACUGGGGAACUUGAGUGCAGAAGAGGAGAGUGGAAUUCCACGUGUAGCGGUGAAAUGCGUAUAGAUGUGGAGGAAC